RNAcentral lists this ribosomal RNA (497 nucleotides) under uncultured bacterium. RNAcentral's name for it is "partial 16S ribosomal RNA". It matches the Rfam family "Bacterial small subunit ribosomal RNA", at positions 28 to 507 of the family's 1533-position model. The record is from RNAcentral.
GAUGAACGCUGGCGGCGUGCCUAAUACAUGCAAGUCGAGCGAACAGACGAGGAGCUUGCUCCUCUGACGUUAGCGGCGGACGGGUGAGUAACACGUGGAUAACCUACCUAUAAGACUGGGAUAACUUCGGGAAACCGGAGCUAAUACCGGAUAAUAUAUUGAACCGCAUGGUUCAAUAGUGAAAGACGGUUUUGCUGUCACUUAUAGAUGGAUCCGCGCCGCAUUAGCUAGUUGGUAAGGUAACGGCUUACCAAGGCAACGAUGCGUAGCCGACCUGAGAGGGGGGUCGGCAACACGGGAACGGAGACACGGACCAGAAGCAGACGGGAGGCAGCAGGGGGGAAUCAGCCGCAAGGGUCGAAAGACGGACGGAGAAAGGCAGAGGGAGUGAAGAAGGUCUUCGAAACGUAAAACUCUGUUAUUAGGGAAGAAAAAAAGUGAAACGAACGAUGCACGUCUUGACGGGACAGAAUCAGAAAGCCACGGCUAACCACGAG